GAUAGCCCGCUGUCGCUACGGUGAUUGGACACUGACAGAGAGUCAACUAGCCUUGUGCGCGCGGUUCUUCGCGCGCAGAACCGAGGGUGGUCCGAGUCACGAGGGGGGAGGCUCGGACCACCUGCC
This 126-nucleotide non-coding RNA is filed under the name Streptomyces zinciresistens K42. RNAcentral's name for it is "Streptomyces RNA 3920". It matches the Rfam family "Streptomyces RNA 3920". Rfam says of the family: Identified by deep sequencing of transcriptome at the end of exponential growth phase. Sequencing size consistent with northern blot size. The record is from Rfam by way of RNAcentral. Lineage: Bacteria; Bacillati; Actinomycetota; Actinomycetes; Kitasatosporales; Streptomycetaceae.